GCUUAAAGAAAAUGUAGUAAGUGAACAUAAGUUAGCUACUCACCAGCACUGGCGUCUCUUCACUGCAAUUCAGUGUCACGUUUGACAAAAGGCGUAGAGGAGAGCUUCUUAAAGCCCCAGAUAGUUUUCAAGUAACACCGGGCAGAUUAAUAUAGGCCUAGUGCAAACUGACUAGUGAGCUAAAACAUCUGCAAGACUGUCAAUGUUUUCAGUGGCCACCACUGUACUUGUACUCACUGUGAUGAAAAUGUUGAGCAGCAAAGUGUUGACCUGACUGCAUAUGAAGCUGACAUCAAUCAUAAGGCACUUUCCAUUUCCUCACAAUUCAACAAGGGGCCAUUAACAUCAGUUCCUGGAGACUCCUCUAAACAGAUACCAUGAAAACUUUGACCCAUCUACAGCUGCUAAAUUCUGCUAACAGUGAAAUCCACAUCUCAACAGCAUGCGCUGCCAGGACCAUGACAACUUCCCAUGAAGCAGUAAGUGAAGCAUUCGGGCAGCAGUUGUUGUGCGCACAUCUCAUUAAUCUCAGCCAUUCUUCAGCGUUGUCAUUGGUCAAGAGACAGGGGUAAUGAGUUCGUCGGCAUCAAAUGGAAGUGAUUGGGAGAAACAUUUUGUUUUAGCUCUUUGGGAAUUUGGUUGCAUGCAUUUGUCUAGUUUUUCUUCUCAGCUCAUUUUUUCUUCACUUUGAGUAAAAAAAAAAUCCGUACUGUAAACUCAAAUUCAAUAGAAAAUGUAAUAACAAAGCUGCACUAAAAAUUUUAACACAGAUUUGAACUUGCAAAUUUCAUUAACAUCAUGACCUUUAACUGGCAACUCUUUUCAUUUUGAGAUGUUUUUAGAUUACUCUGGUUGUUUUUAGAGCUCUUGGUUUGUAUAAAAUAUUGCAAAUCUAGUUAGGAGACCACACUGCUGAUACUGAAAGAAUCAGACUAUGUUUCAUUGUGUGCCAGCAAUGCUGAACAAAUACUGAUAGAAAUACCUGUAGAAAGAUACUGGUCAAUGUCUUUAUUUGCCUUCAUUUCAUGCUUUCUGUAUUAUGUUCAAAGCCUAUGUUUUACUGGAAAAUAAUAUAGCUUUAACACACUGCUUAACUGAUUAUAACCAUGAAUAUUUCUUAGUGAUAGAGCAUGUUAAAUCAUUAUUUCAUCCUUUAAUUAAAGAUAUAUUUUAAAAGUUAUUCAAAAUGGAAAUUGUCAU
Long non-coding RNA from Megalobrama amblycephala (Wuchang bream), 1200 nucleotides. RefSeq lists it as uncharacterized. NCBI's taxonomy places the organism in Eukaryota, Metazoa, Chordata, Actinopteri, Cypriniformes, Xenocyprididae. The transcript is spliced from 4 exons. The record is from RefSeq and is a predicted model, not a curated record.